This 450-nucleotide ribosomal RNA is filed under the name Ototyphlonemertes sp. z HL-2022. Its description in RNAcentral is "partial large subunit ribosomal RNA". It matches the Rfam family "Archaeal large subunit ribosomal RNA", at positions 1921 to 2657 of the family's 2987-position model. Lineage: Eukaryota; Metazoa; Nemertea; Enopla; Monostilifera; Ototyphlonemertidae. The record is from RNAcentral.
UGCCUUUAGGUUUUUAAUAAAAGGUUUAUUCUGCUCAGUGAUCUUAAACAGCCGCGGUAAUUUGACCGUGCAAAGGUAGCAUAAUCAUUUGCCUUAUAAUUGGGGGCUGGUAUGAAAGAAUAAACAAGAGUUUAGCUUUAUUUUUAGGAUUGUAAGAAUUUUCUUUUUUAGUGAAGAAGCUAAAAUGUUGAAAGGGGACAAGAAGACCCUUUUGAGCUUUACUGAUUUUCUUCUUUUUGGGGAGAAAUCAGUUUGGUUGGGGCGACCAAGGAAAAAGACCUUCCUUAAUAAAUAUUGAUCCGUUGUUUUCGAUUAAAAGAGUAAGUUACCAAAGGGAUAACAGCGUAAUCUUUUUUGAGAGUUCUAAUUAAAAAAAUGGAUUGCGACCUCGAUGUUGACUUAUAUUCUCCUGCUGGUGCAGCAGCUAGUAGGGUGGGUCUGUUCGACCUU